This 253-nucleotide ribosomal RNA is filed under the name uncultured bacterium. Its description in RNAcentral is "partial 16S ribosomal RNA". It matches the Rfam family "Bacterial small subunit ribosomal RNA", at positions 524 to 776 of the family's 1533-position model. The record is from RNAcentral.
UACAGAGGUCCCAAGCGUUGUUCGGAUUCACUGGGCGUAAAGGGUGCGUAGGUGGUGAGGUAAGUCGGAUGUGAAAGCUCGGAGCUCAACUCCGAAAUGGCAUUGGAAACUACCUUGCUCGAGGGAUGGAGGGGGGACUGGAAUUCCCGGUGUAGCAGUGAAAUGCGUAGAUAUCGAGAGGAACACCAGUGGCGAAGGCGAGUCCCUGGACAUCUCCUGACACUGAGGCACGAAAGCUAGGGGAGCAAACAGG